Molecule: ribosomal RNA, 697 nt
Filed under: uncultured organism
Description: bacterial SSU rRNA
Rfam family: Bacterial small subunit ribosomal RNA
Source: RNAcentral
UGGCAGACGGCUGAGUAACACAUGGGAAUCUACCUCAAACUCGAGAAUAGCCCAUCGAAAGGUGGUGUAAUACUCGAUAGUUCCGUUUACGGUAAAGCUCCGGCGGUUUGAGAUGGGCCCAUGUCCUAUCAGGUUGUUGGUGGGGUAAUUGCCUACCAAGCCUAUGACGGGUAGCUGGUUUGAGAGGAUGAUCAGCCAGACUGGGACUGCGAUACGGCCCAGACUCCUACGGGAGGCAGCAACUAGGAAUCAUGCGCAAUGGACGAAAGUCUGACGCUGCGACGUCGCGUGAGGGAUGAAGGUCUUCGGAUCGUAAACCUCUUUUAUCUGGGAACAAGUUCUGAGUGUACCAGAUGAAUAAGUGCCUGCCAACCACGUGCCAGAAGCAUCGGUAAUGCGUGGGGCACGAGCGUUAUCCGGAUUUACUGGGCGUAAAGAGAUGCGUAGGCGCCUUUUUAAGUCACUUGUAAAAUCUCCCCGCUCAACGGGGAAACUGCAAGUGAUACUGAAUUGGUUGAGUCAAGUAGAGGAGAGGGGAAUUCCUGGUGGAGCGGUUAAAUGCGUUGAUAUCAGGAGGAAUACCAAGUGCGAAGGCACCUCUCUGGACUUGUACUGACGCUAAGGCUCGAAAGUGUGGGGAGCAAAACGGAUUAGAUACCCGUGUAGUCCACACUGUAAACGAUCCCUGCUAGAUGUU